Molecule: ribosomal RNA, 429 nt
Filed under: Chloroflexota bacterium
Lineage: Bacteria; Bacillati; Chloroflexota
Description: Chloroflexi bacterium partial 16S ribosomal RNA
Rfam family: Bacterial small subunit ribosomal RNA
Source: RNAcentral
UAGGGAAUCUUCGGCAAUGGACGAAAGUCUGACCGAGCAACGCCGCGUGAGUGAAGAAGGUUUUCGGAUCGUAAAACUCUGUUGUUAGAGAAGAACAAGGACGUUAGUAACUGAACGUCCCCUGACGGUAUCUAACCAGAAAGCCACGGCUAACUACGUGCCAGCAGCCGCGGUAAUACGUAGGUGGCAAGCGUUGUCCGGAUUUAUUGGGCGUAAAGCGAGCGCAGGCGGUUUCUUAAGUCUGAUGUGAAAGCCCCCGGCUCAACCGGGGAGGGUCAUUGGAAACUGGGAGACUUGGGUGCAGAAGAGGAGAGUGGAAUUCCAUGUGUAGCGGUGAAAUGCGUAGAUAUAUGGAGGAACACCAGUGGCGAAGGCGGCUCUCUGGUCUGUAACUGCCGCUGAGGCUCGAAAGCGUGGGGAGCAAACAGG